Synchiropus splendidus (mandarinfish) is the source of this 921-nucleotide long non-coding RNA. RefSeq lists it as uncharacterized. The record is from RefSeq and is a predicted model, not a curated record. Lineage: Eukaryota; Metazoa; Chordata; Actinopteri; Syngnathiformes; Callionymidae. The transcript is spliced from 3 exons.
CACACAGCUGUGGCCUACAUGGCAGCAACCUCAGGACCAACAGCACACAAGGCUCUAUGUUACAUAAAGACACAUCCAGCAUCCUUGUCUGAGCCUCCUCGAGUGGCACCUCAAACUCAAUCCUGUGAUUAAAGAAAGGGCUUCAGCCUCAGAUCAAAGUGCGAUCCUGAUGAGGAUUGAUCAGGCAGCAGAUAGAUGCGCACAUAGGAGUCAGUGCCAUUUUCAUUAGAAGGAAACAAGUUCCUGUUGGAAGCCGAGGGAAUAAAAUCGCACAUUACUUUCGGAUGGUCAGUCUGAAGGUCAGUGAGUGAGGUCAAUGAAAAUCAUAGAUGCUUUGGAAUACACAAAACAUCAAAGCGGACAUGGCUCUCAUAUUAAAAGGGGUCAUGAGGUCAAACAGAUUAUUCAAAACAUGACAUCCAAUCUGAAGUGGAAACUCGUGGUGUGUUAGUGAAGCUUGGGAAAACGGUCCUCAACAUCUGACUGCAGAAGAUUCUGCUCUCUGUUUAAAAAUUACAUGAGGUGUAAUUGAAAUAUGAGACGGAGAGCCAUAAAGUGCAGAGAUUCUUAACCAUAGGGCCAGGGCUCAUGGUUGGGCCGCGAGCGCCUCUUAGAGGGCCGCUAAAAGUUUUUUUGUUUUACACCAUUGGGGCGUGAAGGCAGCAAGAGGCUCAGUUUUAAUGCAUGAGCCGCAUAUGGUGGCAGUAGUUUGUCACUGAAUUGACUUGGCAGCUGCAAAUCUGUGAUAGUUACCAACUAUGGAGAAGUUCCUAAAAAAAAAAAAAAAAGAUUAAGAAAGUGAUGCCACCUCCUCCAACAGUAAAAACUGUUCAUGAAAGCACCUGUUGAAGCAGUUUUGAAAAUUAAUUAAAACUAACAUUUUAUGGCGAUGUUUUCAUUUACACUUUACUUAUAUCUUCU